Operophtera brumata (winter moth) is the source of this 47-nucleotide non-coding RNA. The record is from Rfam. NCBI's taxonomy places the organism in Eukaryota, Metazoa, Arthropoda, Insecta, Lepidoptera, Geometridae.
AAAGAGGCCCUUUUCAGGGCCAACACAGGGCAAACUGCAAAGGUACU